This 101-nucleotide microRNA precursor is filed under the name Marmota monax (woodchuck). The record is from RNAcentral. Lineage: Eukaryota; Metazoa; Chordata; Mammalia; Rodentia; Sciuridae.
AGUGGGAUAGCUGGGUGAAAUGGUGGUUCCAUCCCAAGUUUUUCAAGGAAUCUCCAUAUUGCUUUCCAGAUUGGUUGUACCAUUGCAGUCUCACCAGCAAU